UUAGGAAUUUUGCGCAAUGGGGGAAACCCUGACGCAGCAACGCCGCGUGAGUGACGAAGGCCUUCGGGUUGUAAAGCUCUUUUAGCAGGGAAGAAACAAAUGACGGUACCUGCAGAAAAAGCACCGGCUAACUCCGUGCCAGCAGCCGCGGUAAUACGGAGGGUGCAAGCGUUAUUCGGAAUGACUGGGCGUAAAGCGCGUGUAGGCGGUGUGCUAAGUCUGGUGUGAAAUCCCUGGACUCAAUCCAGGAAGUGCAUUGGAUACUGGUACACUAGAGUACAGGAGAGGAGAGCGGAAUUCCAGGUGUAGAGGUGAAAUUCGUAGAUAUCUGGAGGAACAACAGAGGCGAAGGCGGCUCUCUGGACUGUAACUGACGCUGAGACGCGAAAGCGUGGGGAGC
Molecule: ribosomal RNA, 400 nt
Filed under: uncultured bacterium
Lineage: Bacteria
Description: bacterial SSU rRNA
Rfam family: Bacterial small subunit ribosomal RNA
Source: RNAcentral